RNAcentral lists this ribosomal RNA (468 nucleotides) under uncultured bacterium. Its description in RNAcentral is "partial 16S ribosomal RNA". It matches the Rfam family "Bacterial small subunit ribosomal RNA", at positions 28 to 507 of the family's 1533-position model. The record is from RNAcentral.
GACGAACGCUGGCGGCGUGCUUAACACAUGCAAGUCGAACGGAAAGGCCCUGCUUUUGUGGGGUGCUCGAGUGGCGAACGGGUGAGUAACACGUGAGUAACCUGCCCUUGACUUUGGGAUAACUUCAGGAAACUGGGGCUAAUACCGGAUAGGAGCUCCUGCUGCAUGGUGGGGGUUGGAAAGUUUCGGCGGUUGGGGAUGGACUCGCGGCUUAUCAGCUUGUUGGUGGGGUAGUGGCUUACCAAGGCUUUGACGGGUAGCCGGCCUGAGAGGGUGACCGGCGACAUUGGGACUGAGAUACGGCCCAGACUCCUACGGGAGGCAGCAGUGGGGAAGAUGGCACAAUGGGCGGAAGCCGGAUGCAGCAACGCCGCGUGCGGGAUGACGGCCUUCGGGUUGUAAACCGCUUUGGCCUGUGACGAAGCGUGAGUGACGGUAAUGGGUAAAGAAGCACCGGCUAACUACGUG